CUCCGUAGGGUGAACCUGCGGAGGGAUCAUUACACAAAUAUGAAGGCGGGCUGGAACCUCUCGGGGUUACAGCCUUGCUGAAUUAUUCACCCUUGUCUUUUGCGUACUUCUUGUUUCCUUGGUGGGUUCGCCCACCACUAGGACAAACAUAAACCUUUUGUAAUUGCAAUCAGCGUCAGUAACAAAUUAAUAAUUACAACUUUCAACAACGGAUCUCUUGGUUCUGGCAUCGAUGAAGAACGCAGCGAAAUGCGAUAAGUAGUGUGAAUUGCAGAAUUCAGUGAAUCAUCGAAUCUUUGAACGCACAUUGCGCCCUUUGGUAUUCCAAAGGGCAUGCCUGUUCGAGCGUCAUUUGUACCCUCAAGCUUUGCUUGGUGUUGGGCGUCUUGUCUCUAGCUUUGCUGGAGACUCGCCUUAAAGUAAUUGGCAGCCGGCCUACUGGUUUCGGAGCGCAGCACAAGUCGCACUCUCUAUCAGCAAAGGUCUAGCAUCCAUUAAGCCUUUUUUUCAACUUUUGACCUCGGAUCAGGUAGGGAUACCCGCUGAACUUAAGCAUAUCAAUAAGGCGGAGGAA
This 574-nucleotide ribosomal RNA is filed under the name Alternaria sp. xz17. RNAcentral's name for it is "eukaryotic LSU rRNA". The stretch from base 198 to 351 matches the Rfam family "5.8S ribosomal RNA". Lineage: Eukaryota; Fungi; Ascomycota; Dothideomycetes; Pleosporales; Pleosporaceae. The record is from RNAcentral.